UUUUUGUGUCACAAUUAUCGAUUAGCUUCAGCGAUGGAUCGGUCGAUUCGCGUAUCGAUGAAAAACGCAGCUAGCUGCGUUAUUUACCACGAAUUGCAGACGCUUAGAGUGGUGAAAUUUUGAACGCAUAGCGCCGUUGGGUUUUCCCUUCGG
RNAcentral lists this ribosomal RNA (153 nucleotides) under Teladorsagia trifurcata. RNAcentral's name for it is "5.8S ribosomal RNA". The stretch from base 23 to 153 matches the Rfam family "5.8S ribosomal RNA", at positions 1 to 135 of the family's 154-position model. Rfam says of the family: 5.8S ribosomal RNA (5.8S rRNA) is a component of the large subunit of the eukaryotic ribosome. It is transcribed by RNA polymerase I as part of the 45S precursor that also contains 18S and 28S rRNA. The record is from RNAcentral. Lineage: Eukaryota; Metazoa; Nematoda; Chromadorea; Rhabditida; Trichostrongylidae.